AAGUCGUAACAAGGUUUCCGUAGGUGAACCUGCGGAAGGAUCAUUAAUGAUUUUUUAAGCAAACCAAGCUUUUUUUUUAUAAAAAGUGAGGUUUUGCGAAUGUAUUUAAAACCCCCACUCUUUUAAAAAAUAUAAUAUAUAUUUCAUUCAUAUAAAAUGAAUAAAAAAAAGAUCACUUUCAACAACGGAUCUCUUGGCUCUC
Molecule: unclassified non-coding RNA, 202 nt
Filed under: Rhizophagus aggregatus
Lineage: Eukaryota; Fungi; Glomeromycota; Glomeromycetes; Glomerales; Glomeraceae
Also listed under: 1 other name
Description: Glomus aggregatum partial internal transcribed spacer region
Rfam family: Eukaryotic small subunit ribosomal RNA (bases 1-46)
Source: RNAcentral